GAAAUUUGGAAGAGAGGACUAGCUGUUCCUGCUUUAACAAAAUUUGGUAUGUGCAUGCAUCGUAUUGUCUUAUUUCGGUUGCCAGUAUGCUUUUUGUAAACAUUAUUGACUCUGAAGUGAAUUGCAGCAAUAAACGGUUAUUAUGCUUUUUUGGUACCCAUGGUCAGAGAUGUUUGCCAUGUAAUUUUCUUUUGUUGCAUAACUAUAAUGAAGAAUGCCUUUUCAGCUUGCAUGAUUAGGUGCCUCUAUAGAGGUUUUAAAAUUAAGUCUGUUUGGGUAUUAUAAAUUAGAAUCACUUUUCAAAUGGGAUUUUACAAAGAUUCUUUUUUAUGGAAAUUGUCUGGGUCCUACUUGUUAAAAAAAUUGAUUUUGAAGUGUUGAUUGUAGGGAUUUUUUUAUAUUCCUGUUGGGCCAAUUAGUUUAAUUUUCUAGAAAAGCGUGGAAAUCCUACUACCCUCAAUCAAUCUUAUGAUAUAUAGAUAUUACAAAUUUACUUUGAAAAACUACUGAAACAGAUUGGAUUGUUUUUCAUAAUCUAUUCUUUUUUAUGGAAAUUGUCUGGGUCCUACUUGUUAAAAAAAUUGAUUUUGAAGUGUUGAUUGUAGGGAUUUUUUUUAUAUUCCUGUUGGGCCAAUUAGUUUAAUUUUCUAGAAAAGCGUGGAAAUCCUACUACCCUCAGUCAAUCUUAUGAUAUAUAGAUAUUACAAAUUUACUUUGAAAAACUACUGAAACAGAUUGGAUUGUUUUUCAUAAUCUAUUCUUGAGGACCAAAUGUGAUUGUGGACUCUUCAGAAUGUAAAAGAAACUAAUCCAAAAUUAAAGAAUGUAAAAGAAAGUGGCUAGUGCCUAAAAAUGCUUGAUUUGAUGACUUGAUGAGUCUGUAGGUUUGGCUAGACUAUUUUUAUUUGAUUGGAAAUGUGUUACUUGGUGAUAAUGGUUAUCUAUCAGUUUUUAAGUGAAAUCAAUGGGGUAAAGUGUAAUUUUUCUUUAUAAUUAAAUAACAAUAAUAGUGGUAAUGGUAAUACAAUAUUGAUGGCACUCUGCUCUACCUUCCAAACAUUUUAUAGAGAAGACAUGGUUUCUGAUUUUCAAGUUUUGUUCCCCUGGGUUUUGUGAUUUAAGUUGCUCCUUAUUAAAUUAUCUCGUGUGUUAAUGCAGGACAUGGUGCCCUGUAUUCUGGUGACUUUUGAGAAUGAACAAAUUGUGGUUUGGAGGGGAAAGGAUUAUGAGCCCCGGAAGGAUGGAUACUUUCUUAAAGAUCGAGAAUCAGUUGACGACAUUGGUGGCUUGUGUGUGGGAAAAGAGCAACAGGCUAUGUAACACCACAAUCAGCACAGCUAAUUAGGAAUCAAUUCAUGGUUUUGCUGACAGCCAAGCUUGGAAGAGACUUUGGUAAUUCAUGAUGUCAGAGAAUAAUGGAGGAAACUCAGUUCAAUAGUUCAGUACGCAAGUUUGUCACCAUUACAAAAUUGCCAGUUUGAUAUGAAGAGCUAAAUGUACAAAUCAGUGUUUUUUUACUGUUCAUGUUUGGGUUAGUUUAGUUUUAGAAUUACUUAUUUGAAAACCUAUUUUGUAAGGUUUUGUUAACACAAUGAGUGAAGGUUACUGCUGAAUCAUAUGAAACGAAAAUGGACAAAAACAACUUAAAAGUAAAAGGCAAAAUUGUACUUUUGGUCCCUCA
This is a long non-coding RNA of Glycine soja, 1681 nucleotides long. RefSeq lists it as uncharacterized. The record is from RefSeq and is a predicted model, not a curated record. NCBI's taxonomy places the organism in Eukaryota, Viridiplantae, Streptophyta, Magnoliopsida, Fabales, Fabaceae. The transcript is spliced from 2 exons.